Long non-coding RNA from Canis lupus familiaris (dog), 1138 nucleotides. RefSeq lists it as uncharacterized. Lineage: Eukaryota; Metazoa; Chordata; Mammalia; Carnivora; Canidae. The record is from RefSeq and is a predicted model, not a curated record. The transcript has 3 exons.
GAUUCUUACAACUUAGAAUCUUAGAGGAAGGGCCCCACUCAGACAUCUGAGGAGGGGACCCUGGUAGUCUCUCCUGUGUUAGGGAAAACUGAACCCCAUGAGCUACUGCUAUAAGGAACUGCCUCUGCUGGAGUGAAGAAGCAUAGCUGGGGAUCAUUUUCCUCUAUAUUGAAGAACACCUCUUAGAAUCUCCCUUGGUGCAGGUCUGCUGAUUUUUCUUUUUUACAAAGUUCUGUACAUAAAAAUAAAUAUACAGAAACAACCCCAUCAACUGUCUGCAUCAGUAAUCCUCGCUGGUGGGCUCACCGUUUACAAGGAAGACAUCAUUCAACGCAACCUGUCACAGAGACUGUCCUACCAGCAACAACUUCUAACUUGAAGAACCAUUAAUUUUAUCAAGAUUGUUAAUCACCUGGAGGGCUUUAUCUACCACCUAGAAAUUACCCAUGAAUCAAUGAAUGCAGUCACUGGCUUUAGUGAAGUGUGACCAACUGUCACUACUGCUAGUGGUGCUAUUAUCCUAUGCUGACUUCAACCAAUAAAGAUGCAUGUGUGGUUAAGAACAGAAAUAAACCCCACUCCCCUUGGCUAGUCACUGUGAAAAGCAUGCGCGUAAGGCAGUUGAAUUGAGGGUUACGGAUUCAUCUUGCUAAUGUCCAAAGUGACACUAACAAGAUUCUUAGCCUCAUCCACCAGAUGACGGGCCUCUGCGUCCAGGUCUCCAGGAGCAGGCUCCACCUCCUUCACCAGACAGUGGGUUGUAACCUGGGAUGAGGGAAAGGAAGCAAAACACUGGGCACAUUCUGCAUCAAAUAUAAAAUUGCGAGCCUGACAUGCAAAGCUCUAUUCUCACAGACAUUUUCAUAAAACUUUUAGCUACCAUGUGAAAAAAAUAUUCUGUGAUUACACUUUGAAUGAACUUUCUGGGGGAAUAAAAGAAGUCAUCCAGCAUUUUGGUCUUAACUGCUCAAAAAUGUAAAAAUUCCCCCAAAACACACAAGAAAUUUGCCCCAACAAACCUCUCAAGAUGGCUGGAUUUAAGUACAUGAAGGCUUCUACAACAGUGCUUAAUAAAAUGUAUACAUUCAAAUAAGGACAGUGCAAGCUACAGAAAAUAAAUUUAAAAAAUAUCAAAACA